UUUUGCUCAAAGUAUGUACCCUAAAUAUGAAUCACAAAAUUAUUACAAAGCUUGACAAAGAGAGCAAGAUGAAAACAAAACAUAAAUGGAGGAUCUAUCCUAGAAUCUAAGAGUGCAGUUUUAACUUCUUUUGGCAACCAAAUGUACAAGAUUAGAUGAAUAGCCAGUUACCAUUUGUUACCUUACUGUACUUAUGCUGUUAAAGGAUAAUUCAUGCAAACGUUUAAUAACACACCCAAAGGUGUUUUAGUGCAAAACCUUCAGCUGCUAUCACACAUAUAAAAUCAGUACUUGCUUAUGUGCUAAACGACUGUGUCCCAUUUUUGACAAUUUAAAACCAAGAAAAACUGGUUCACAAAACAAAAUCAGUAGAAAAAGGUUCUCAGAGUCUUCAGCUUGUUAUUCUGACUGGGAAUGUUUUUGCAAUGCCCCUUCCUAAAUGUCCUUCCCCUAAAUUGAAAUGUACUGAAUGGAUUGGCCCAUCAGAGGGCAGACUCUCACAGAACCUGCCAACAGAUGUUCAACAGCAACAUGUCAACAUUUCUAACUCACAUUUCUCUAAUCAUGUUUCAUGAAGUACUUUACUCUAGACUUUUAGCACCAGUUCCAGUUUUAGGGGAUGCAUUCAAUCAUCAGAGGAAUCGCCUGACAGGAGAAGGUCACCCUAUCCGAUGUCCUUGACGAUGUCAAAAUACCAAUCAUCCUCAUCCAGCUGAAGCAAAGGUGCCUGUGCUAACUUGGCCACUUACCCUGAAGACAUCCCCCCACAGUUAUCCUGCGGUAAUCCUGAACAGACAACUUGAAAGAAAAAUAAUUCAUGGGAAGUGGCUUUUUCAACUCAACCAGAUACAUCUAUGAGAGAAGACAGACUUUCCAGGUUCCAACUGCACAUUCACAGAUGGGAAUCAUUGUAAUAGUCCAAGACUGACCUGUUCCUCAGCUCCAGGAAACAUCCAAACCAUGUCUUCCCAUUGGUCCCUGCAAUUUUCCAAUUUUCCUGCAACAGCCCAAUUUCCUGUACACAGACAGAUACCAGAUACAUUCUAUAUAUGUAUAUGUACAGUAUAAAGUGAUUUUGUUUUCUAUAAAGGCUCCCAUAAAUAUGCUCAGCUGAUCAAAUACAUAAAUGUUUAUCAAUGGAAGUAAUGUGCUUUACUGGCCAAAAUGAAACAUAAAUACAGUAACAGCAGAAAAGGGUUUGGUAAAAGUGUGCCUCUGUUACAGAACAUAUUUGUAUUAUUUUGAGUAGUACGAAGGAACAAAAUUCACCUAAACAUUGAUUCCCUGAAUACAAACAUUAAAUAGGUGCAACAAAAGCAUUACACAGUAGUAUCACGGUCUAUCAACUGGCAACAGCAACAAUAAAAGAUGUAUAAUAACAUGCAGCUGUUCCAGCAUAUGUGAUCCAAGGAACUAGAAGCCAAACCAAUUUGUCAGCUUCACAACUUGUAUUUUAGUGGUUUUCGGGCUCUCCAUACAAUGAUGAAAACAUAAGGCCAACAUUGACAGAAACAAUAACAAUGACAUAUGAAAUUUAUGUUGCACCAACAAACUCACUUGGUCCCAAAGUAUAAAUGUAACACCUAAAAAAAUCACAAAACAAGUCAAACCAUUCAACGUCAAACUAAUUGUCGUAUGGAAAAAAUAUUUUUUGCAGGGUAUGGAAGGUUUUUUAAAAACACAACAAAGAGCCUAAGAAAAAAGAGCAAUCAAUCUUCAAUAAAUCUCUCUAAUUUCUCUCCAACAACCUUCUUCUUCUAAUGACAAGCUCUGUUUAUAACUCUUAGCUAAGGUCAAAAGCUUUGCAAUUUAUCAACUAUGAAGCGGAACAAAAACAGUGGAGUUCAUGCCAUGAACUCUAUAUGUGUGGUAAACACAGCACUUACGACAGAAUCAAAAGGAGAUUCGUUUUUUUCCCUUUUUGUACUUUUGUAAAUGCAAUGAGGCAAACCAACAAUGUUUCCAUCCACUAUGUAAAUGGAAAAAUAAAUAUUAUGCAAUGUUACAGUUCUGGUAUUAAAAAUUAAAA
Molecule: long non-coding RNA, 2029 nt
Filed under: Lepisosteus oculatus (spotted gar)
Lineage: Eukaryota; Metazoa; Chordata; Actinopteri; Semionotiformes; Lepisosteidae
Description: lncRNA (ENSLOCG00000022332.1)
Source: RNAcentral